GUGAGCAGUGAGGUUUGGGAGGGACCGACUUGUUGGCCUUGAGAUUGAUGCCCAGCUCCUUGCUCAUCGCAUUCUGUUCGGCUCGAGGUUCUGGACACGGCUUGCUCUUCUAAGCAGUGUGAGGGCUCUGAGAAAGACUUUGUUGGAUGCAGCAGGAAAGCACAGCUGCUGGUGGAUGCCAGUGUCCGCUCCUGAGGCUCUGCGCCAAGCUCUGCCCAGUGCUGAUGGGAUGUCAGUGCCACCUGCUGCUCUCCAUGAACUGCAGGUUCAAUUCCUUUUGGCUUCCACAGCAUUUGCUACUCUUUUGUUCUGUCUCACUUCUCUUUUUUCCAUGUUGCCUGCUGGCGCCUCGCUGCAGUUCCCAGGAUGCCACUGCACACUUUGGACCAAGUGAGAUGCAGAAGAAGAGGGUUGGCCACUCCUCCACCAGAUGCAGCAGGCAUUUUGGGUUGCCCAAGCUUCCGCAGUGAACGUGUCCCGUUCCUGGUAAAGGUGUGGGCGUUCCUGGACGUGCCCAGUCCCCUGGAUCCCUGCUGUCUCCUGUUUCACACGCUCGCUCAGGUCCUUUGGGGCUUGGUGUCGCUUGUCCCUCGUGCUCCCGUUGCUGUCACCGGGUGUUGUUCCUUUGCCCAUGCUCAGCUCUGCCCAGUGCUGAUGGGAUGCCAGUGCCACCUGCUGCUCUUAAGAAAAGGUAGGUUUGAUUUCUUUUGGUUUCCAUAGCAUUUGCUACACUUUCAUUCUGUCUCCUUUUUUUUUUCUUUUUGCUCUCAAUAAAUGGCAGGUUCAAUUCAUUUUGGCUCCUGUAGUAUUUGCUACACGUGUGUUCUGUUUCUCUUCUCUUUUUUCCAUGUUGCCUGGUGGUGCCUCGGGAACUCAUGGAGUUCCCAUGACCCCCGGGCCCACUUGUGACCAAGUGAGGUGCCAAAAACAGAGGUAUCUCCUAAGCAGGCUUGUGCUGAGUGCUGUCCUCGUCUUGGGGUUUGUCCAAUGCCCACCUUUCUUUUCUAGCCCACUUUGUUGCGGAUGGCGUGUGAGGCUUUCUUCUUUCUUUGUAGGAUUGGCUACUCCAGCCCCAGAAGUAGCAGGCAUUUGGGGAUGUCCAAGGUUCGGCAGUGAACGUGUCCUGUUCCUGGUAAAAGUGUGGGCGUUCCUGGACACGAAGGUAUCUAUCUUCAUGCCUUGCCCAUGUGCCCAGUCCCCCACCAGAUGCUGUUUGCCUUUUGGCCCCCCUGAUUUGCUGCACUGCUGCGCCCUGAUCCUUGCAGAGGGGCUCUCAUUGGUCACCGGCAGCGCCGUCCCGCCCUCGCCAGCCUGUGAUUGGUCAUCGGCAGUGCCGUCCCGCCCUCAUGUGUCUCUCAUUGGUCAUCGGCAGCGCCGUCCCGCCCCUGC
Molecule: long non-coding RNA, 1389 nt
Organism: Tympanuchus pallidicinctus (lesser prairie-chicken)
Lineage: Eukaryota; Metazoa; Chordata; Aves; Galliformes; Phasianidae
Exons: 4
Source: RefSeq, a predicted model, not a curated record